CAAUAGCGUAUAUUUAAGUUGUUGCAGUUAAAAAGCUCGUAGUUGGAUUUCGGAUGGGGACGACCGGUCCGCCGUUUGGUGUGCACUGGUCGUGCCUAUCUUGCUGCCGGGGACGCGCUCCUGGCCUUAAUUGGCUGGGACGCGGAGUCGGCGAUGUUACUUUGAAAAAAUUAGAGUGUUCAAAGCAGGCCUAAGCUCUGAAUACAUUAGCAUGGAAUAACGCUAUAGGACUCUGGUCUUAUUGCGUUGGUCUUCGAGACCGGAGUAAUGAUUAAGAGGGACAGUUGGGGGCAUUCGUAUUUCAUUGUCAGAGGUGAAAUUCUUGGAUUUAUGAAAGACGAACUUCUGCGAAAGCAUUUGCCAAGGAUGUUUUCAUUA
This 378-nucleotide ribosomal RNA is filed under the name uncultured eukaryote. RNAcentral's name for it is "partial 18S ribosomal RNA". It matches the Rfam family "Eukaryotic small subunit ribosomal RNA", at positions 592 to 975 of the family's 1831-position model. The record is from RNAcentral.